UUGCAAACAGCAGAUGAAUUGUACUGCAAACAGCAGCCUCCUUGGUAGCGUAUGCAGCCUGUUGCCUAUAUGUAUAGCUUACCCUAAGGGACCUUGGAGAUAGCC
This 105-nucleotide small nucleolar RNA is filed under the name Catagonus wagneri (Chacoan peccary). RNAcentral's name for it is "Small nucleolar RNA SNORA70 (ENSCWAG00000019929.1)". It matches the Rfam family "Small nucleolar RNA SNORA70". Rfam says of the family: snoRNA U70 seems to be exclusive to mammals and is a member of the H/ACA class of snoRNA which contain H (ANANNA) and ACA box motifs. H/ACA box snoRNAs are involved in the conversion of uridines to pseudouridines (5-ribosyluracil) a constituent of structural RNAs (transfer, ribosomal, small nuclear, and small nucleolar). Lineage: Eukaryota; Metazoa; Chordata; Mammalia; Artiodactyla; Tayassuidae. The record is from Rfam by way of RNAcentral.